Molecule: ribosomal RNA, 334 nt
Filed under: uncultured bacterium
Lineage: Bacteria
Description: bacterial SSU rRNA
Rfam family: Bacterial small subunit ribosomal RNA
Source: RNAcentral
AGGGUUUGAUCCUGGCUCAGGAUGAACGCUAGCGGCAGGCCUAACACAUGCAAGUCGAGGGGCAGCGGGAUUGAAGCUUGCUUCAAUUGCCGGCGACCGGCGCACGGGUGCGUAACGCGUAUGCAACCUACCCAGAACAGGGGGAUAACACCGAGAAAUUGGUACUAAUAUCCCAUAAUAUCAUGAAGGGCAUCCUUUAUGGUUGAAAACUCCGGUGGUUCUGGAUGGGCAUGCGUUGUAUUAGCUAGUUGGUGAGGUAACGGCUCACCAAGGCAACGAUACAUAGGGGGACUGAGAGGUUAACCCCCCACAUUGGUACUGAGACACGGACCAA